RNAcentral lists this small nuclear RNA (101 nucleotides) under Tupaia belangeri chinensis (Chinese tree shrew). RNAcentral's name for it is "Tupaia chinensis (Chinese tree shrew) U2 spliceosomal RNA". It matches the Rfam family "U2 spliceosomal RNA". From Rfam's summary of the family: U2 is a small nuclear RNA (snRNA) component of the spliceosome (involved in pre-mRNA splicing). Lineage: Eukaryota; Metazoa; Chordata; Mammalia; Scandentia; Tupaiidae. The record is from Rfam by way of RNAcentral.
AUCACUUCUUGGCCUUUGGCUAAGAUCGAGUGUAGUAUCUGUUUUUUUGGUUCCUUAUAAGACUAUACCUACACUUAGCUUAUGGUUCGCAAUCACUCCUU